UGAACGCUGGCGGCGUGCCUCAUACAUGCAAGUCGAGCGACCAGACGAGGAGCUUGCUCCUCUGACGUUAGCGGCGGACGGGUGAGUAACACGUGGAUAACCUACCUAUAAGACUGGGAUAACUUCGGGAAACCGGAGCUAAUACCGGAUAAUAUAUUUAACCGCAUGGUUCAAUAGUGAAAGACGGUUUUGCUGUCACUUAUAGAUGGAUCCGCGCCGCAUUAGCUAGUUGGUAAGGUAACGGCUUACCAAGGCAACGAUGCGUAGCCGACCUGAGAGGGUGAUCGGCCACACUGGAACUGAGACACGGUCCAGACUCCUACGGGAGGCAGCAGUAGGGAAUCUUCCGCAAUGGGCGAAAGCCUGACGGAGCAACGCCGCGUGAGUGAUGAAGGUCUUCGGAUCGUAAAACUCUGUUAUUAGGGAAGAACAAAUGUGUAAGUAACUAUGCACGUCUUGACGGUACCUAAUCAGAAAGCCACGGCUAACUACGUG
Molecule: ribosomal RNA, 495 nt
Filed under: uncultured bacterium
Lineage: Bacteria
Description: partial 16S ribosomal RNA
Rfam family: Bacterial small subunit ribosomal RNA
Source: RNAcentral